UUACGGUGAUAUCACAUUGAAACACCGGUUCUUGUACGAUCACGAAAGGUAAACAACCUUGAGCCUGGUCAGUAUCUGGAUGGGUGACCUCUUGGGAAUACCAGGUGCUGUAAG
Molecule: non-coding RNA, 114 nt
Organism: Acanthosepion pharaonis
Lineage: Eukaryota; Metazoa; Mollusca; Cephalopoda; Sepiida; Sepiidae
Source: the annotation of a GenBank genome assembly